ACUUAAAUAGUUUUAUAUAAAAUAUUAAUUUGUGGGAUUAGAGAAGUAAUAGUUACUUUAAGUA
Molecule: transfer RNA, 64 nt
Filed under: Curculionoidea sp. 15 KM-2017
Lineage: Eukaryota; Metazoa; Arthropoda; Insecta; Coleoptera
Description: tRNA-His
Source: RNAcentral